UAUAAGCAAUUAUACAGCGAAACUGCGAAUGGCUCAUUAUAUAAGUUAUCGUUUAUUUGAUAGUACCUUACUACUUGGAUAACCGUGGUAAUUCUAGAGCUAAUACAUGCUAAAAAUCCCGACUUCGGAAGGGAUGUAUUUAUUAGAUUAAAAACCAAUGCCCUUCGGGGCUCACUGGUGAUUCAUGAUAACUCCUCGAAUCGCAUGGCCUUGUGCCGGCGAUGGUUCAUUCAAAUUUCUUCCCUAUCAACUUUCGAUGUUUGGGUAUUGGCCAAACAUGGUUGCAACGGGUAACGGAGGGUUAGGGCUCGACCCCGGAGAAGGAGCCUGAGAAACGGCUACUACAUCCAAGGAAGGCAGCAGGCGCGCAAAUUACCCAAUCCCGACACGGGGAGGUAGUGACAAUAAAUACUGAUACAGGGCUCUUUUGGGUCUUGUAAUUGGAAUGAGUACAAUUUAAAUCCCUUAACGAGGAACAAUUGGAGGGCAAGUCUGGUGCCAGCAGCCGCGGUAAUUCCAGCUCCAAUAGCGUAUAUUAAAGUUGUUGUGGUUAAAAAGCUCGUAGUUGAACCUUGGGCCUGGCUGGCCGGUCCGCCUCACCGCGUGUACUGGUCCGGCCGGGCCUUUCCCUCUGUGGAACCCCAUGCCCUUCACUGGGUGUGGCGGGGAAACAGGACUUUUACUGUGAAAAAAUUAGAGUGCUCCAGGCAGGCCUAUGCUCGAAUACAUUAGCAUGGAAUAAUAGAAUAGGACGUGUGGUUCUAUUUUGUUGGUUUCUAGGACCGCCGUAAUGAUUAAUAGGGACAGUCGGGGGCAUCAGUAUUCAAUUGUCAGAGGUGAGAUUCUUGGAUUUAUUGAAGACUAACUACUGCGAAAGCAUUUGCCAAGGAUGUUUUCAUUAAUCAGGAACGAAAGUUAGGGGAUCGAAGACGAUCAGAUACCGUCGUAGUCUUAACCAUAAACUAUGCCGACUAGGGAUCGGACGGUGUUAUUUUUUGACCCGUUCGGCACCUUACGAGAAAUCAAAGUGCUUGGGCUCCAGGGGGAGU
Molecule: ribosomal RNA, 1049 nt
Filed under: Fusarium oxysporum f. sp. ciceris
Lineage: Eukaryota; Fungi; Ascomycota; Sordariomycetes; Hypocreales; Nectriaceae
Description: SSU rRNA
Rfam family: Eukaryotic small subunit ribosomal RNA
Source: RNAcentral